CGUAAAGGCUUCAACACUCUUGUUAUGCUCACGACUUGGGAGCUCUGGAAGCAUAGGAACAACUAUGUCUUCAACGGUCUCCGCCCCUCCACCGGCAGCCUAUUUGAGACCAUUCGGUAGGAGGCUUUGCUUUGGGCUCGUGCCGAAGCCAACAGAUUGCACAACAUUGCAGGCAUAGUUUGA
This 183-nucleotide ribosomal RNA is filed under the name Triticum aestivum (bread wheat). Its description in RNAcentral is "partial small subunit ribosomal RNA". The record is from RNAcentral. Lineage: Eukaryota; Viridiplantae; Streptophyta; Magnoliopsida; Poales; Poaceae.